RNAcentral lists this ribosomal RNA (468 nucleotides) under uncultured bacterium. RNAcentral's name for it is "partial 16S ribosomal RNA". It matches the Rfam family "Bacterial small subunit ribosomal RNA", at positions 28 to 507 of the family's 1533-position model. The record is from RNAcentral.
GAUGAACGCUGGCGGCGUGCUUAACACAUGCAAGUCGAACGGAAAGGCCCAAGCUUGCUUGGGUACUCGAGUGGCGAACGGGUGAGUAACACGUGGGUGAUCUGCCCUGCACUUCGGGAUAAGCCUGGGAAACUGGGUCUAAUACCGGAUAGGACGAUGGUUUGGAUGCCAUUGUGGAAAGUUUUUUCGGUGUGGGAUGAGCUCGCGGCCUAUCAGCUUGUUGGUGGGGUAAUGGCCUACCAAGGCGUCGACGGGUAGCCGGCCUGAGAGGGUGUACGGCCACAUUGGGACUGAGAUACGGCCCAGGCUCCUACGGGAGGCAGCAGUGGGGAAUAUUGCACAAUGGGCGCAAGCCUGAUGCAGCGACGCCGCGUGGGGGAUGACGGCCUUCGGGUUGUAAACUCCUGUCGCUAGGGACGAAGCGUUUUUGUGACGGUACCUGGAGAAGAAGCACCGGCUAACUACGUG